Molecule: ribosomal RNA, 417 nt
Filed under: Triticum aestivum (bread wheat)
Lineage: Eukaryota; Viridiplantae; Streptophyta; Magnoliopsida; Poales; Poaceae
Description: partial small subunit ribosomal RNA
Source: RNAcentral
AUGGCAUUCUUGUGCUUCAAUCCUACGACCGCGCACGUUGGAAACUUGGAAUCAUAUCUCCCUGGUUUCAAAAAGAAAGUAAUCGUACCUCCCAAAUUGGUGUUGAAUUCCAAAAGAUGUUGCGUGAAGGGGAGUAGAACGUUUUGUGCGUGUACAGCUUUACGGUUUUUGCUCCUCCGAAAUUCCUCCCGUUCCAACCCGCUUUCGUGCACCCCGAUUCAGCCCGCAAGUCAGAGAGAGGUGGGUCCAGAGACAGCGGCGGCACACACGACCGGACGUCCGGCGCGCUCGGCAGGACCGGACUGGACACAAGCAGGAGCAGCGAGGGAGCGGUGGCAUCUGGCGGGCAGCCCCGCCGUUCGUUCAGAGAGAGCAGCGGCACGCACGACCGGACGGACGGGGCGAAGGAACCCGUGA